GGCUAUUCGCGGACUACCUGCCGACAC
Molecule: small RNA, 27 nt
Filed under: Bombyx mori (domestic silkworm)
Lineage: Eukaryota; Metazoa; Arthropoda; Insecta; Lepidoptera; Bombycidae
Description: ovarian small RNA-17459
Source: RNAcentral